This 348-nucleotide ribosomal RNA is filed under the name uncultured bacterium. RNAcentral describes it as "partial 16S ribosomal RNA". It matches the Rfam family "Bacterial small subunit ribosomal RNA", at positions 338 to 700 of the family's 1533-position model. The record is from RNAcentral.
CCUACGGGUGGCAGCAGUGGGGAAUAUUGGGCAAUGGAGGAAACUCUGACCCAGCAACGCCGCGUGAAUGAUGAAGGUCUUCGGAUUGUAAAGUUCUGUUCUAAGGGAAGAAGAAAGUGACGGUAACGUAGGAAUAAGCCGAGGCUAACUACGUGCCAGCAGCCGCGGUAAUACGUAGGAGGCAAGCUUUAUCCGGAAUGACUGGGCGUAAAGGGUGGGUAGGUGGUUUGACAAGUUGGUCGCGUAACUCCGGGGCUCAACCGCGGCACUACUACCAAAACUGUCGGACUUGAGUGCAGGUGGGUCAACUUGCAUUCCUAGUGUAGCGGUGUACUGCUUAGAUAUUAG